GCGGGAAAUCCGAAAGGAGAAUUCUCCAGGGGAAAUGGGUCAGACGCCCCACCCCCGCCCGCCCCGGGAUUGGUGAGCCUUAGUCCACAGGCCUCCCGUUUUCCUCCGCCAUCGCCAGUCCCCACCAGGGCUUAGGGUCUCAUCUGACCUGCCACGCGCUUAGCCUCCCGGAGUCCCCACGGCCCGCACACCUCCUCAAGGCCUGUGACACAGUGAACACCAGCCACUGGGCAGGACAGAGGUCCGCUGCCCAAGGUCAUGAGGCAGGCAGGGUGGCGUCACGGGACAUUUAAAUUGUGACAUAGAACCAAUGAGGGUGCUGCUGCAGGUAGAGGGAUGUCACCAGUCACGCAGGAAGAUGUAAGGACGUCACCUGGUCAGGCUGGCGAUGCCACCAGAUAAUCAGAGGUGAUAUCUCUGGUGAAGGUACAUGGUGAUAGCCCAGACAAGGGGAGGUCAUGGGGCUGGUGAUGUCACAUUCGUCUAGAUUACCCAACAGCAAAGUAGGGCUCACAAAAAAUGAGGAACAGUUACUAAAAUCUGCUUAUUUCAGGGGUGCUGGGGGCUCAGUCAGUUGACCGUCUGACUUCGGCUCAGGUCCUGAUCUCGCCUUGGCGAGGCUCAAACUCACAAACCAGAGAUCAAGAGUCGCAGGCUCUACUGACCAAGCCAGCCAGGAUUAUUGGGAAGAUAAAUGAGACCCUAUUCUGAAAGCGCGCAGCACAUAGA
Neofelis nebulosa (Clouded leopard) is the source of this 729-nucleotide long non-coding RNA. RefSeq lists it as uncharacterized. The transcript has 3 exons. The record is from RefSeq and is a predicted model, not a curated record. Lineage: Eukaryota; Metazoa; Chordata; Mammalia; Carnivora; Felidae.